CAACAAUCUCUUGCAAGCUGUUCAGAAUACACUAAAACUGUCUGUACCAGUAUAGGUAGUACCAAUGUGAAAUUGCUGUGCUGAGUAGUGAGUAGCCUGCGAACAGGCUCUCAAGUUAUAUUACUACCUGAAAUCAUGGAUAAUAAAAUAAAUUAUUUUACAAUCAUUAAAAUGUUAAUCUUUAUUUUACAAUUAUUAUUUUGUAAAAUAAGUUAUUUUACAAUCCAUGCUGAAAUAAACAAGC
Non-coding RNA from Paramuricea clavata, 244 nucleotides. Lineage: Eukaryota; Metazoa; Cnidaria; Anthozoa; Malacalcyonacea; Plexauridae. The record is from the annotation of a GenBank genome assembly.